This 497-nucleotide ribosomal RNA is filed under the name uncultured bacterium. RNAcentral's name for it is "partial 16S ribosomal RNA". It matches the Rfam family "Bacterial small subunit ribosomal RNA", at positions 28 to 507 of the family's 1533-position model. The record is from RNAcentral.
GAUGAACGCUGGCGGCGUGCCUAAUACAUGCAAGUCGAGCGAACAGACGAGGAGCUUGCUCCUCUGACGUUAGCGGCGGACGGGUGAGUAACACGUGGAUAACCUACCUAUAAGACUGGGAUAACUUCGGGAAACCGGAGCUAAUACCGGAUAAUAUAUUGAACCGCAUGGUUCAAUAGUGAAAGACGGUUUUGCUGUCACUUAUAGAUUGAUCCGCGCCGCAUUAGCUAGUUGGUAAGGUAACGGCUUACCAAGGCAACGAUGCGUAGCCGACCUGAGAGGGUGAUCGGCCACACUGGAACUGAGACACGGUCCAGACUCCUACGGGAGGCAGCAGUAGGGAAUCUUCCGCAAUGGGCGAAAGCCUGACGGAGCAACGCCGCGUGAGUGAUGAAAGUCUUCGGAUCGUAAAACUCUGUUAUUAGGGAAGAACAAAUGUGUAAGUAACUAUGCACGUCUUGACGGUACCUAAUCAGAAAGCCACGGCUAACUACGUG